Molecule: ribosomal RNA, 484 nt
Filed under: uncultured bacterium
Lineage: Bacteria
Description: bacterial SSU rRNA
Rfam family: Bacterial small subunit ribosomal RNA
Source: RNAcentral
AACGAACGCUGGCGGCAUGCCUAACACAUGCAAGUCGAACGAACCCUUCGGGGUUAGUGGCGCACGGGUGCGUAACACGUGGGAAUCUGCCCUUUGCUUCGGAAUAACAGUUAGAAAUGACUGCUAAUACCGGAUAAUGUCUCCGGACCAAAGAUUUAUCGGCAAAGGAUGAGCCCGCGUAGGAUUAGCUUGUUGGUGAGGUAAAGGCUCACCAAGGCGACGAUCCUUAGCUGGUCUGAGAGGAUGAUCAGCCACACUGGGACUGAGACACGGCCCAGACUCCUACGGGAGGCAGCAGUGGGGAAUAUUGGACAAUGGGCGAAAGCCUGAUCCAGCAAUGCCGCGUGAGUGAUGAAGGCCUUAGGGUUGUAAAGCACUUUUGUUGGGGAAGAAACCGGCCGGGUUAAUACCCUGGUUGAAUGACGGUACCCAAAGAAUAAGCACCAGCUAACUUCGUGCCAGCAGCCGCGGUAAAGUAGUCGUG